UCUAUCCGGGACUCUCUGGUGAUUCAUAUACUUCUCGAUCGCACGGCCUUGCGCCGGCGAUGGUUCAUUCAAAUUUCUGCCCUAUCAACUUUCGACGGCUGGGUCUUGGCCAGCCGUGGUGACAACGGGUAACGGAGGGUUAGGGCUCGACCCCGGAGAAGGAGCCUGAGAAACGGCUACUACAUCCAAGGAAGGCAGCAGGCGCGCAAAUUACCCAAUCCCGACACGGGGAGGUAGUGACAAUAAAUACUGAUACAGGGCUCUUUCGGGUCUUGUAAUUGGAAUGAGUACAAUUUAAAUCCCUUAACGAGGAACAAUUGGAGGGCAAGUCUGGUGCCAGCAGCCGCGGUAAUUCCAGCUCCAAUAGCGUAUAUUAAAGUUGUUGAGGUUAAAAAGCUCGUAGUUGAACCUUGGGCCUAGCCGGCCGGUCCGCCUCACCGCGUGCACUGGCUCGGCUGGGUCUUUCCUUCUGGAGAACCGCAUGCCCUUCACUGGGUGUGCCGGGGAACGAGAAAACUUUUAC
This 523-nucleotide ribosomal RNA is filed under the name Chaetomium globosum. RNAcentral describes it as "SSU rRNA". It matches the Rfam family "Eukaryotic small subunit ribosomal RNA", at positions 229 to 755 of the family's 1831-position model. Lineage: Eukaryota; Fungi; Ascomycota; Sordariomycetes; Sordariales; Chaetomiaceae. The record is from RNAcentral.